CGGAGGAUGCAAGCGUUAUCCGGAAUUAUUGGGCGUAAAGCGUCGUAGGCGGUUAAUUAAGUCAGUUGUUAAAGACUGCAGCUCAACUGUGGGAGAGCAACUGAAACUGGUUAACUAGAGUAUGGUAGGGGUAGAGGGAAUUCCUAGUGUAGCGGUGAAAUGCGUAGAUAUUAGGAAGAACACCAGUGGCGAAGGCGCUCUACUGGGCCAAGACUGACGCUGAUGGACGAAAGCUAGGGGAGCGAAAGGGAUUAGAUACCCCUGUAGUCCUAGCUGUAAACGAUGGAUACUAGGUGUUGUGCGUAUCGACCCGUGCAGUACCGAAGCAAACGCGUUAAGUAUCCCGCCUGGGGAGUACGCACGCAAGUGUGAAACUCAAAGGAAUUGACGGGGGCCCGCACAAGCGGUGGAGUAUGUGGUUUAAUUCGAUGCAACGCGAAGAACCUUACCAGGACUUGACAUCCCUCGAAUAUCUAAGAAAUUAGAUAGUGCCUUCGGGAGCGAGGAGACAGGUGGUGCAUGGCUGUCGUCAGCUCGUGUCGUGAGAUGUUGGGUUAAGUCCCGCAACGAGCGCAACCCACGUCUUUAGUUGCCAUCAUUCAGUUGGGCACUCUGGAGAGACUGCCGGGGACAACUCGGAGGAAGGUGUGGACGACGUCAAGUCAUCAUGCCCCUUACGUUCUGGGCUACACACGUACUACAAUGCAACGGACAAAGGGCAGCCAGCUAGCGAUAGUGAGCUAAUCCCAUAAACCGUUGCUCAGUUCAGAUUGCAGGCUGCAACUCGCCUGCAUGAAGGAGGAAUCGCUAGUAAUCGCAGGUCAGCAUACUGCGGUGAAUACGUUNCCNGGCC
Molecule: ribosomal RNA, 853 nt
Filed under: Leptolyngbya ectocarpi
Lineage: Bacteria; Bacillati; Cyanobacteriota; Cyanophyceae; Leptolyngbyales; Leptolyngbyaceae
Description: bacterial SSU rRNA
Rfam family: Bacterial small subunit ribosomal RNA
Source: RNAcentral